AAAAUGACUUCAGUUCAAGGCAGAAGGAAAUCAAACUCUUGGAAAAUAUCAUCAGGUGACAAAACAGCUUGCUGGCAGUUGGAAAAGGGACAAGAAGGUCCAACCACUAGAUGGCCUUUCUCAUAACUGUAUAAGCACAGUCAAUUACCUAGAAGUUCAUAAGGAGAAGUCAGUGUCCUAUAGUCAUGCCCCAACGAGACCAAUAAAACUGUCUACUAGUCUGCCUUUCUUCUCUGGGUCAGGAAUUUGAUGAGGAGCUGGUGGAGGAGCAACAUCUGAGAGGCUCAUCUGUCUUCAGUGAUGGAGGAAGGACAUCAAAAAAACACAUGUAAAGACAAAACAAAACUCUGCUACAGUUACUUCUCACUGAAUGGAGUCUACUGACCUGAAGCAGAAGAUGUGCAGAACUAAAGUGAUGAGAAGUAACCUUUUAACCCCAUCAUGCUUCUCAGAUUAAUUAGGAAACAGAACUGUGUAAUCAUGACAGUGUAGAACUAGAAGGUGAGAAGAAGAUCGCUUUCAAGUUCUGGGUCACUGACACAAAUGGAAAGUAUUUAGCCUUUAGGUGUGAGUACUUAAAUGCUUCUGAAUCAGAAAUGGUGAAUGGGGCCCAUGCUGUGCUAAGGUCAAUCAGAUAAAACGCUGUAUGUAAAGAUAAAGAGUAUACGUAUAAGGGUUUGGUUAUUGGAUCAUCCACUCAAAAACAUAAGCCAAUGACUACAUGAGCCAAAGCCCCUUCGACAAUUAAUUGCAACUUGAAUGAAAACUCCGAGGAUGAAACUUGUCAUGGCUUCGGUCUCUGUUGAGAGGAGAUGCAUUGGCAAGAAAACAAUAAUUGGGGCCUCACCCGAACGAAUGCUCCUACCUUCCCCAUAAAUUUAUUUUGUGACACUAAAAAG
Mustela erminea (ermine) is the source of this 899-nucleotide long non-coding RNA. RefSeq lists it as uncharacterized. NCBI's taxonomy places the organism in Eukaryota, Metazoa, Chordata, Mammalia, Carnivora, Mustelidae. The record is from RefSeq and is a predicted model, not a curated record. The transcript is spliced from 3 exons.